GGGGAAUAUUGGACAAUGGGCGAAAGCCUGAUCCAGCCAUGCCGCGUGUGUGAAGAAGGUCUUCGGAUUGUAAAGCACUUUAAGUUGGGAGGAAGGGCAGUAAGUUAAUACCUUGCUGUUUUGACGUUACCAACAGAAUAAGCACCGGCUAACUUCGUGCCAGCAGCCGCGGUAAUACGGAGGAUGCGAGCGUUAUCCGGAUUUAUUGGGUUUAAAGGGUGCGCAGGCGGGCUUUUAAGUCAGCGGUGAAAUCUGGACGCUUAACGUCCAAACUGCCGUUGAAACUGGGAGUCUUGAGUAUGGUUGAAGUAGGCGGAAUUCGUUGUGUAGCGGUGACAUGCAUAGAUAUAACGAGGAACUCCGAUUGCGUAGGCAGCUUACUAAGCCAUAACUGACGCUCAUGCACGAAAGCGUGGGGAUCAAACA
Molecule: ribosomal RNA, 426 nt
Filed under: uncultured Dysgonomonas sp.
Lineage: Bacteria; Pseudomonadati; Bacteroidota; Bacteroidia; Bacteroidales; Dysgonomonadaceae
Description: bacterial SSU rRNA
Rfam family: Bacterial small subunit ribosomal RNA
Source: RNAcentral